This 490-nucleotide ribosomal RNA is filed under the name uncultured bacterium. Its description in RNAcentral is "partial 16S ribosomal RNA". It matches the Rfam family "Bacterial small subunit ribosomal RNA", at positions 30 to 507 of the family's 1533-position model. The record is from RNAcentral.
AUUGAACGCUGGCGGCAGGCCUAACACAUGCAAGUCGAACGGUAACAGGAAGAAGCUUGCUUCUUUGCUGACGAGUGGCGGACGGGUGAGUAAUGUCUGGGAAACUGCCUGAUGGAGGGGGAUAACUACUGGAAACGGUAGCUAAUACCGCAUAACGUCGCAAGACCAAAGAGGGGGACCUUCGGGCCUCUUGCCAUCGGAUGGGCCCAGAUGGGAUUAGCUAGUAGGUGGGGUAACGGCUCACCUAGGCGACGAUCCCUAGCUGGUCUGAGAGGAUGACCAGCCACACUGGAACUGAGACACGGUCCAGACUCCUACGGGAGGCAGCAGUGGGGAAUAUUGCACAAUGGGCGCAAGCCUGAUGCAGCCAUGCCGCGUGUAUGAAGAAGGCCUUCGGGUUGUAAAGUACUUUCAGCGGGGAGGAAGGGAGUAAAGUUAAUACCUUGGCUCAUUGACGUUACCCGCAGAAGAAGCACCGGCUAACUCCGUG